Molecule: small RNA, 21 nt
Filed under: Arabidopsis thaliana (thale cress)
Lineage: Eukaryota; Viridiplantae; Streptophyta; Magnoliopsida; Brassicales; Brassicaceae
Description: ATSL041190
Source: RNAcentral
AGAAAACACAUAUAAUAGCUA